Molecule: long non-coding RNA, 3590 nt
Organism: Myotis daubentonii (Daubenton's bat)
Lineage: Eukaryota; Metazoa; Chordata; Mammalia; Chiroptera; Vespertilionidae
Exons: 2
Source: RefSeq, a predicted model, not a curated record
CCCCACACGAGCAUCCCGGGCAAGGGGGAAAUGUACACGUUCAGUAAGGGAGCGCGGCUGGUGCUGGGUCUAGUCGCCUCAGUUUACUGCUUGUUUUCCGGGAAUCCCAGUGGUGGGAGAGUGAGCCUUCCAGAGCGCCGCGAUGGAAACCUUCUAGUCCUCCUCGUGGAAUCCUGCAGAGGACAGGGCAGAGCCUAAGGCAGAACCCAGCUGACACUGGGAAGGAAGAGGCCAUCACAGUGCAUGCCCUGUGGGCUUCAGGGCCUUCCAGCAGAGGAGAUGUAUAUUAAAAAACAUUCUGUCUGAUUUUAUCUAAGUCUUGAACGCUAAGCCCAGACAAACAUUGUGAUCAUCAUGGACUUGGGGUUUCUACAGUCAGCGAGUCUCUUUCUUGCCAUUUCCUCCCCCGCACCCCGCACACCUGGCGAGGGCCGAGGUGGGCCCAGCGCUCCUGCUUGACGUGAAUGAGAUAAAAUAUUGGGGACCAAAUAUACUGCAAUAUACAUUAUUAAGAAAUGUUCUAAUAACAAUUGGUGCACAGAACUAUUGGUAUAAAGAUAUUUCCAAAGAGAGAAACAUUUGCAUUGCAUUAGAUGGCGCUUCCUAGACUAGAGGUUUGUCUUUCUUUGCAGUUGCUUUUGGGACAGGACUCUCACACGGAGCAACCAAGUGCGUGUUGCUAUUGGGACACAGAUUGGAAGUUUAAAGUUCAGGGCUGUCCAAGUCCUUGGGAUUUGUUUGUCCCCAGAAAAGAUCUCAACUUCAAUCAGUUCAAGGUGGGACCUGCCCAGGGUCACCGUUCUCCAGGAUCACCAAUUCCAAGGCAGGCGUUCUGGAAGAUUCUGUGGACCACACUGCAGGCACGGCUAUUGGUGCAGCUUUGGCGGGAUGGCGGGCUUCUGAAUGCACCACUGCCUGGGCCCCCUUGGAUCAGACGCGUUGCAGACUCAGCGGUUGGCUUCAUGUUGGCUGUAGCCUUGGACAGACCCACAGUCCUUCCUGGUGCUGGUAAUCCUUCUGGUGUUAAUUCUUAGCACAGCGGGCUUAUUUCUGUGACUUGUUCUUUGAGCCACAUGGGCCCAUGGGCUGCCUGCCAUCUAGGGACACGCUGUGUGGACCUUUAGAGUCUAGAAGUGGGGCCCUGGGACCUCCCUGCUUCAGCACAGGACAGGAGGCCGAGGACAGUCUGUCUACGAGAGGCCAUGGGGUGCAGUGCGGAGACACGCCUUUCCAUCACAGGGGCACCAGAGCAGGGUCUCCAUGGAUGGGGUCAGCGUGGGACUGACCAACAGCUAUGAGACCCCCUUCCUUUCUGGGAUCUGCCUGAGUUUUAAAAAUCACGGUGAAAACUGGACUGAGCUGAAUGGAGAAGCCCAACGCAGAGGUGCUGACCUGCCCAGCUCGGUCUUUCCAGCUCGGCGGGGUGUGUGGAAGUGGCCUGAAGGUCACAGUCCAGCAGACGGGAGAACUAAGACAGUCAGGAGGAAAAGAUGAUCCGGGUGACCCCCAGGGGAGCCACUCAGGUACUCAGAACCAGGUGUGACCUUCAGCUGUGGUGAACAACAGUUUUCUUGGGGAGGAACAGCAUGUCCUUUCAGGGUGCACAUGCCCUGGGAUCCUUUGAGUCAGAGUCAAGGUCACUUCAUGUAAGAGGCACGACUGUUGUGGAGCUCGAGGAGGCCAGGCAGGCCUGGGGAGGGGCCUCGGUGCUACACAUCCUACAGGGAGUGGUUCGGGUCGCUGCGCUCCCGUUUUACCAGGGGCUCACCCAAGCUGCGGGCAUCCGCAUCGGCCUCACUGCUCCGGUCUUCACUGAUGUCAUCUGUGGGGUCAGUGUAGGGGAGAAAAGGGUGAGUGGGGGGUGACAGGAGGGAGGGAGAGAGAAGCACAUCCUCAGAGGCGCUCAGGCAUGAACAGACCUCAACUCUGGUCUGGUUAACCUGGUCCUUCCCGGCCUUCUUAUCCGUGACUUCUCUUGACCAGUGCUCAUUUGCCUGGGUCACAUUCCUGGCAGGUUUUCCCUUAGUGCUUGGUCCUCCCACCCCUCUGGGGACAGGGAAUGGGCUGGAGCUGGGGGCCUUUCUGCCCCGCUACCCCUUCAAAUCCUCCCUCCCACCUCAUUCCUGGCUGUGGCCCUGCUCCUUGGAGCCUGGCUUGGGUGCCCAUGAAGUGCCACACUCAAGUAGGAGAGGACAGGGCUACUCGGAGGCAUCACUGGGACACCUACUGCUGCCUGGGUGUCACCCUCUGGGUGCCAGCUCCUGAGUCUCUCAACCCACCCGAGAAGCUGCCCUGAUUUCCCACCAGGCCACUCGCAGGAGGAAGCCUCACGGGAAAGCCACGGACUCACCCACCUUUGUCCAGCAGGGUCAGCGACAGGGAGGCGAGGUCGUUGAACUGAAAGGGAGAAGACCAGCAUCAGGCCCUCUGCAGAGGGGGUCCUCAUGAACGCCAGCGGUUCGAACAGGCUUUGCUUUGUGAGUGAGGGCUUCUUACAUAAGGAGGAGCUAUGAUGCUAGGUGUCCCCUCUGCCACUUUCCGGGUUGUGUCUAAGAGCUACUAGAGAGUUGAGGGGGUGCUGACUGCUCAGGCCAGAGAGGAGACAGGGGCUGUGGCCUCUGAAUAGUGACAGUGAAGGAAUAGCUGGCAUUUAUCAAGGGCUUAUUAUGUUCCAAAAGCUGUACAAGGAUAACCUCAUUUCUUCCUCAAAAUAAUCCCACAUGACCCAGAAAUUCCACUCCUGGGCAGAUACCCAAAAUAACUGAAAAUAGGUGUUCAAACAAAAACUUGUACACACAUGUUUACUGCAGCACAAUUCACAAUAGCCAAAAGGUGGAAAGAGCCCAGAUGUCCACCAAUAGAUGAAUGGACAAACAAAAUGCUGAACAUCCACAUACUGGAAUAUUACUCAGCCACUAAAAAGAGCAAAGCACUGACACCCCCUACAACGUGGAUAAACCGUGAAAACAUGAUGCUCAGUAUGAGGAGCCAGAGACCAAAGGCCACAUAGUGUGAUUCCAUGUGAAAUGUCCAGAACAAGCAAAUCCAGAGACAGAUUCAUGGUUGCCAGGUGCUGGGAGGAGGAUGGGAAUGGGGCUUCUCUUUGGGGUGAUAGACUGUUCUGGAAUUAGAUAGAGGUAAUAUUGCACAACACUGUGAAUGUACUAAAUGUCACUGAAUUGUUCACUUCAAAAUGGUUAAAAUAGUAAAUUGUAUGUUACAUGUAUUUUACCACAAUAAAAAAAAAAGGCCUAUGUUUGAGGCCUCAUUCAGAGGCAGGGUAUCCUGCUCAGAGUGAGAAUAAAGAGUUGGCCGAGGAGACAGGAUCUGAACCCAGGCCUGCAGGCUCCAGCAUGAGAGCUCUUUCCUGCCCACUGUCCACUGUGUCAUACUCAGCAGACUCCCUCACCCCUGGAGGCUUCUCUGGUCCUCACCUCUCCCAUCACAGCAAUGGGUGUCUCCCCGGUUGCCUUGGCGACGCGGUGCUCCACCAGAUAGAACAUGUACUCAUCAUACAGCAGGCGUAUCAGGUGGAAGGAGCCGAAGCUGGCAGCACUGCGCAGGGUGAGGUCUCGGAUCACCAUGGAGCU